Molecule: long non-coding RNA, 291 nt
Organism: Solea solea (common sole)
Lineage: Eukaryota; Metazoa; Chordata; Actinopteri; Pleuronectiformes; Soleidae
Exons: 3
Source: RefSeq, a predicted model, not a curated record
CAGGUGAGACUGCAGAUUGUAACAGACUGAGGACUUCCAUCGCUGCUCCCUUUCCCAAGCAAGAAUUACAGUGGCCUUCGCAUACCAGAAAGGACGAUGUUCCUCUUCGUUUGGGUGUCACACUGGAGGUUGCAGGCAGCCCGAGGACAUUUCUCCAAGCAGCAUGAAGGUUUUGGGCAAGAGCCCUCAGGCCCAUCAGCAGGUCUCCCAUAGCCCCAACACCUCUGCCAGGCAGCCUCCACAAUCAACAACUCUUCCUGUGGCUACAAACAAGGCAAGACACAUCAGAGC